AGAGGUAAGAGUUCUGCAAACAUAAGGAGUCAAAAACAAAAAGAAAUUUCGGAGAGGAGUGCUUCGCACUAAGUAGUAGAAAUGAACCGCAUAGGCUCUGAUAGUAUUUUCCAUAGUUUGAGGCCAACUUUGGGAAUUUCUUGGUUCAAGUAAUUCUCCAUCCACUAUUGAUCUUUCUUCCGUGAAGAAGAACAAGGUAAUUUGAUAUUCUACUUACAUUAGAUAAUUUGUUUCAAAUUCUCUUCCUUAUUUCUCAAUGUAUAAUCUAUCCUUUAUUGGUUGGUUAGUUAAUUAUAGGUGGACAUAAGAAAAGGGAAUAAAAUGGCUUAUGGAAUUUCUAUUGACAAGGUACUUGUAGUAGAGUUUUUGUAUUCAUGAAUUUCCGAGAAAUUAUCAAAUUUUGCACCAAAGAAUAUUCCUUCUUUUUUUUCAAAUAAGAAAGUCAAACCUUCUGCCUUAGUGGUGGUAGUAUCAUCAAUAUAAGGACAAAAAUAGAAAUAGGUUAUCUCUCUUUUUAUUCUCGUACUCUACAUUAUGUAUUUCUUUUUAAAAAAUAAUAUGUGUAUGUGUGUGUGAGCGAUCAGACUCCAAUGAAUUGGCUUAUGAUAUUGAUAUCACGUAAUUAUAGAAUGAUUUAAGGAAUUUGUACAAAUUGCUCGAGAUGAAGCAUUUGGUAUUACGGCACGAGUACUGUGAGUAGUAAUCUUACC
This 710-nucleotide long non-coding RNA is filed under the name Nicotiana benthamiana. RNAcentral's name for it is "long non-coding RNA (NBEN_LNC030060)". The record is from RNAcentral. Lineage: Eukaryota; Viridiplantae; Streptophyta; Magnoliopsida; Solanales; Solanaceae.